GGAGCUAACGCGUUAAGUCGACCGCCUGGGGAGUACGGCCGCAAGGUUAAAACUCAAAUGAAUUGACGGGGGCCCGCACAAGCGGUGGAGCAUGUGGUUUAAUUCGAUGCAACGCGAAGAACCUUACCUACUCUUGACAUCCAGAGAACUUAGCAGAGAUGCUUUGGUGCCUUCGGGAACUCUGAGACAGGUGCUGCAUGGCUGUCGUCAGCUCGUGUUGUGAAAUGUUGGGUUAAGUCCCGCAACGAGCGCAACCCUUAUCCUUUGUUGCCAGCGGUCCGGCCGGGAACUCAAAGGAGACUGCCAGUGAUAAACUGGAGGAAGGUGGGGAUGACGUCAAGUCAUCAUGGCCCUUACGAGUAGGGCUACACACGUGCUACAAUGGCAUAUACAAAGAGAAGCGACCUCGCGAGAGCAAGCGGACCUCAUAAAGUAUGUCGUAGUCCGGAUUGGAGUCUGCAACUCGACUCCAUGAAGUCGGAAUCGCUAGUAAUCGUAGAUCAGAAUGCUACGGUGAAUACGUUCCCGGGCCUUGUACACACCGCCCGUCACACCAUGGGAGUGGGUUGCAAAAGAAGUAGGUAGCUUAAC
This 591-nucleotide ribosomal RNA is filed under the name Raoultella sp. RNAcentral's name for it is "bacterial SSU rRNA". It matches the Rfam family "Bacterial small subunit ribosomal RNA", at positions 848 to 1439 of the family's 1533-position model. Lineage: Bacteria; Pseudomonadati; Pseudomonadota; Gammaproteobacteria; Enterobacterales; Enterobacteriaceae. The record is from RNAcentral.